RNAcentral lists this ribosomal RNA (232 nucleotides) under uncultured bacterium. RNAcentral describes it as "partial 16S ribosomal RNA". It matches the Rfam family "Bacterial small subunit ribosomal RNA", at positions 524 to 752 of the family's 1533-position model. The record is from RNAcentral.
GACGUAGGGCGCGAGCGUUGUCCGGAUUUAUUGGGCGUAAAGAGCUCGUAGGCGGCUUGUUGCGUCGACUGUGAAAAACCCGCGGCUCAACCGUGUGGUCUGCAGUCGAUACGGGCAGGCUGGAGUUCGGUAGGGGGAGACUGGAAUUCCUGUGUAGCGGUGAAAUGCGCAGAUAUCAGGAGGAACACCGGUGGCGAAGGCGGGGUCUCUGGGGCCGAUACUGACGUGAGGA